UAAUAGUGUAUAUUAAAGUUGUUGCAGUUAAAAAGCUCGUAGUUGAAUGUUGGUGUCGAACGAGCGGUCAGCUUCGGCUGUACUGCUCUCUCGACUCCUUCCUUCUGUGGACUACGUCGCACUUUACUGUGUGGCGCUAGGACGCAGAUCGUUUACUGUGAAAAAAUUAGAGUGUUCAAAGCAGGCCGUACGCUUGAAUACAUUAGCAUGGAAUAAUGGAAUAGGACGUCGGGCCUAUUUUGUUGGUUCUAGGACCGUCGUAAUGAUUAAUAGGGACAGUUGGGGCCGUUUAUAUUCCGUAGUCAGAGGUGAAAUUCUUGGAUUUACGGAAGAUGAACUACUGCGAAAGCAUUCGGCAAGGAUGUUUUCGUUAA
This 374-nucleotide ribosomal RNA is filed under the name uncultured eukaryote. Its description in RNAcentral is "partial 18S ribosomal RNA". It matches the Rfam family "Eukaryotic small subunit ribosomal RNA", at positions 592 to 976 of the family's 1831-position model. The record is from RNAcentral.